AUCUGGCUGGCUCAGUUGGAAGAGCAUGGGACUCUUGAUCCAGGGGUCAUGAGUUCAAGCCCCAUGUUAGGUG
Molecule: transfer RNA, 73 nt
Filed under: Ailuropoda melanoleuca (giant panda)
Lineage: Eukaryota; Metazoa; Chordata; Mammalia; Carnivora; Ursidae
Rfam family: tRNA
About the family: Transfer RNA (tRNA) molecules are approximately 80 nucleotides in length.
Source: Rfam by way of RNAcentral